This 497-nucleotide ribosomal RNA is filed under the name uncultured bacterium. Its description in RNAcentral is "partial 16S ribosomal RNA". It matches the Rfam family "Bacterial small subunit ribosomal RNA", at positions 28 to 507 of the family's 1533-position model. The record is from RNAcentral.
GAUGAACGCUGGCGGCGUGCCUAAUACAUGCAAGUCGAGCGAACGGACGAGAAUCUUGCUUCUCUGAUGUUAGCGGCGGACGGGUGAGUAACACGUGGAUAACCUACCUAUAAGACUGGGAUAACUUCGGGAAACCGUAGCUAAUACCGGAUAAUAUUUUGAACCGCAUGGUUCAAAAGUGAAAGACGGUCUUGCUGUCACUUAUAGAUGGAUCCGCGCUGCAUUAGCUAGUUGGUAAGGUAACGGCUUACCAAGGCAACGAUGCAUAGCCGACCUGAGAGGGUGAUCGCCCACCCUGGAAGUGAGACACGGACCAGGCUCCUACGGGAGGCAGCAGUAGGGAAUCGUCCGCAAUGGGCGAAAGCCUGACGGAGCAAGGCCGCGUGAGUGAUGAAGGUCUUCGGAUCGUAAAACUCUGUUAUUAGUGAAGAACAUAUGUGUAAGUAACUGUGCCCAUCUUGACGGUACCUAAUCAGAAAGCCACGGCUAACUACGUG